CCCGCCGAGAGUGCUUCCUCUUUGGAGACUCACUGAACACAGAGGAGGAAGGAAUGUCAAAUUUUUCCUUUUUGUUGUUGUAAUACACACUUAAGCCACACAAGGCUUAGUGCACCACUACCCCCAGCACGGAAAGCAUUCAAGUUUUCUUCCUAGUGAUUUCUUCAUGCACUCUACUCACAAGGGACAUAUCUUGUGUUAGUAAGUUGUGAUUGUCAAGACUUUCUUUUGGUCUAGCUACGAAUGCAGUAUCUUGCCAAGAACACAUCGGCAUGCUGUAUGGGGAAGACUGAUAUCGAACUGACAACCUUCUGGCCAGAGUAUGAUCACUGUACCCUUUGAGCCACAGCAACCGCUAACAUGGCUCUUAAAGCAUUUGUCUCAUUGAAGUCUCUGGCAUCUUUGCAGGCAUGCAGCAACACAAACAGUGGCACCUCUGCAGGUGUGUAGACACAUUACACAACACAAAGACAGUCAUGUGACCUGUGAAAUUAGAUCGUAAACAACAUGAGGGAGGACAGACGUGCUCUACGGUGCAAGACGUGACAGUAGUUGGGGCGUGCACUCUGCGGGACACUGUUAAACAUGAAGUUACAUGAAUGUUUACCCAAGUUUGCCUCAAGGACAGGCCCAACAGCUGGAGGAGAGCUGCCUGCAAAACAACAUGGAAAUAUAAUAGUGAUGUUUAUGCUGCUGAUGAGGGGAGAUUUAUUCACUCAGUCAUUUCAGGCAUUGUGGGUGUGACCUUUAAAAGGUGUUUCUUUGAGGAACACAACUUCCCUGAAAACAGAGCCUUACAUUUCAUUACAUUUAGCUGACACUUUUUGCCCAGGCGACUUACAAUAAGGGAAUUUAACCAUGAGGGUAUAAACCCAGAACAACGAGAUUAAAAAAAAAUACAAAGAGCAGCACUGAGCAGUCACUAACAAACCAUUUCUCAUCUCAAUAACUCCACACAUGGAGGUCAGUGCAUGCCAACUAUUACACACUGGAUUUUUUCAGAAAUAUUUUUUAAACUUUUAAGAUUUCAUGAAACCUGCCUAGCUUAACAGACCAAUACCUCUUUAAGCCCUAAUGGUUUUAUGAGUUAUGUCCCUUUUCCUCUUGCCUUUUUUUAUUUGCCUGUCAAAUCAUUCAGAGUGUACACUGCAGAAAAGUCUUACUGAGAGCGAGUGAGUGUGUUGAUGACGUUUCUAACACAGGACAGAUACAAAAAUAAAACUACACAAGACGUAUAAGACAUCAACGAAGAUUCUUUUUUUUAAUGAUAAGGGUCAAUGCCAGUGUUGAUGGGUGAAUGUGGCUUGCACUGUAAAGCGCUUGGAGAGGUCCCUAAGAACUGAAAAGUGUUAUUUGAAUACAGAGCAUUACCUUUUAUAUUCCCACUCUCAGACGUUCCACUCCUCCCUCUGUCUCUGUGUUGUUCUCACAUGCCCCUACAAGGACACACACUCUCUAACAAACUGCAGUUUGGCUCAUGUCCCAGUCAAGGAAGCUAUGAAGCUAUGACUGUUGGGGUGGAGAAGCUGUGUAUACAGAGGUGAGAAUGUCUGUGGUGGUGAAGAGAAUGUGUGUCAAGGUGGAGAGGAUGUGUGUGAAGGUGAAGAGGAUGUGUGGUGGUGGAGAAGAUUUGUGUGUGGUGGAGAGGAUAUGUGCAGUGGUGGAGAACAUGUGUAAUGUGGAGAGGAUGUGUGUGUGGUGGAGAACAUAUGUGUAGGUGAUGUGUGUACAUCUCUGUAUUGUAUCUGAAUUUGUAUUUGAUUAAUCUUUUCUAAAUCUGGAUUAUAUUUGUAAUAUUUUGGCUUUGAAAAAUAAAAUUUUCCAUUCACCAGGGACUGAGUUUUACUUUGUUCAC
Molecule: long non-coding RNA, 1855 nt
Organism: Pleuronectes platessa (European plaice)
Lineage: Eukaryota; Metazoa; Chordata; Actinopteri; Pleuronectiformes; Pleuronectidae
Exons: 3
Source: RefSeq, a predicted model, not a curated record